CACGUGGACACCUACCCUAAGGAGGGGGAUAACCCCGGAAAACUGGGGAUAAUACCCCAUAGAUUAUAGAAGCUGGAAUGCUCUGUAGUCGAAAGGUCCGCCGCCUUAGGAUGGGUCUGCGGCCGAUUAGGUUGUUGUUGGGGUAAAGGCCCAACAAGCCGUUGAUCGGUACGGGUUGUGAGAGCAAGAGCCCGGAGAUGGAUUCUGAGACACGAAUCCAGGCCCUACGGGGCGCAGCAGGCGCGAAAACUUUACAAUGCGGGAAACCGUGAUAAGGGAACCCCGAGUGCCCGUAAAAUCGGGCUGUCCAUCAGUGUAAAUAACUGGUGAAGAAAGGGCCGGGCAAGACCGGUGCCAGCCGCCGCGGUAAUACCGGCGGCUCGAGUGGUGGCCACUAUUAUUGGGCUUAAAGCGUCCGUAGCUUGAUUGUUAAGUCUCUUGGGAAAUCUACCGGCUCAACCGAUAGGCGUUCAAGGGAUACUGGCAAUCUAGGGACCGGGAGAGGUGAGAGGUACUCCAGGGGUAGGAGUGAAAUCCUGUAAUCCUUGGG
Molecule: ribosomal RNA, 550 nt
Filed under: uncultured archaeon
Lineage: Archaea
Description: bacterial SSU rRNA
Rfam family: Archaeal small subunit ribosomal RNA
Source: RNAcentral